Molecule: ribosomal RNA, 442 nt
Filed under: uncultured bacterium
Lineage: Bacteria
Description: partial 16S ribosomal RNA
Rfam family: Bacterial small subunit ribosomal RNA
Source: RNAcentral
CCUACGGGAGGCAGCAGUGGGGGAUCUUUCACAAUGGACGAAAGUCUGAUGGAGCAACGCCGCGUGCAGGAUGAAGGCCUUCGGGUUGUAAACUGCUGUUAUAAGCGAGGAAUAUGGUGGUAACUUGUGAAGAAGGAUCCGCUAACUACGUGCCAGCAGCCGCGGUCAUACGUAGGAUGCGAGAAUUAUUCGGCGUGACUGGGGGUAAAGAGUUGCGUAGGUGGGAUAAUAAGUAGCUAGUGUAAUAUGGUGGCUCAACCAUUCAAACUAUUAGCUAAACUGUUAAGCUCGAGACCGUUAGGGGUAACUGGAAUUUCUAGUGUAGGAGUGAAAUCCGUAGAUAUUAGAAGGAACACCAGUAGCGUAGGCAGGUUGCUGGGACGGUUCUGACACUAAGGCACGAAAGCGUAGGGAGCAAACGGGAUUAGAUACCCCGGUAGUC